UCCAGCAGUUCCCCCAUCCCCUCCCUCAUCGUUCUUUUAGGGGAACAGAGCAAAAAAACUGCUUCCAGCAGUUCCCCAAUCCUCUCCCCGUUUUUCUGGCCUCCCCCAAAUCGUCCUCUCUCUCCCCUCUAUGUAGGGGAACGGCGACCUCCCCGAUCCCCUCCCCGACUCGCUGGACGAGGCAACAACUGCGCCCGGAAAACUCCCUCCCGCCACCACGCCACUGCCGUCGCUGCAUCAUCAGAUUUUGGUAAUGGACGAUCAGAGUUAUUUUGAUCUUUUGCAAAAUGAUGUCGGAUUGAAUGAUUUGCAUUGGACCGAAGAACAACAUGUCGAUCUUGAAGGGCCUGAAGAACAACAAACUGAUCUUGAGGGGCAUGACGAAGAACAAACUGAUCUCGAAGGGCCUACAGAACCUACCCCUCCUAUGACAGCAAGGUCUUCGAAAGCAAAGGCGAAGAAAGUAAGCGCUUCCAAAGCAAGUGCUUCGAAGAGGCAAAAGAAUUUCAGCAAGGCUGAAGACUUAACUUUGGUGGAUGCGUACCUCGAGAUAGCUCAAGAUCCAAUCAUAGGAGUAGACCAAUCUCGUGAUUGUUAUUGGAAAAGAAUCGAUGCUUACUUCCAUGCCAAUAAAUCUGAAGACCAUGGUCGCACACAAGGUUCUCUUCAGCAUCGUUGGGCUAUUAUUUAAGAACAAGUGAAUAGGUUAAAGAUGCAGCAUGGCGGGCUCAAAGUUCUUCCAGUACAGUUAAUAGUAGUGCCAUGGAAUCAUUUGGGGGUAUCUUGGAGACAAGGGAGUCAAAAAGACAAGAGCGGUUUGAGCUCAUGAUUGCAAUGGACAAACAGAGAGAAGAAGAUAGGUUGGUAGAAGAAAGAAAGAAACUUGCAAUACAAGAAAAAAAGAUGGAAUUAGAAGAAGAAAAGAUACGAAUCAUGAGAAUGGCGGAAGAACGCAUGAUGGGGGCUGAAGAAAGCAAAAUAAUGAGCAUGGACCUUAGUGGCAUGGAUGAGCAAGAACAAGAAUUCUACAAAUUAAGAAAGAGCCAGAUCAUCAACCGACAUCGUAACUCGUCGGCUUGAGCUAUGUGUUGUAAUCUGUAUUACUUAUUAUCUUCGAACCAUUUGGAUAAAAUGUGUCUUGUAAUCUGUACUACUUAUUAUCUUCGAACCAUUUGGAUGAAAUGUAUCUUGUAAUCUGUACUAAUUAUUGUCUUUGAACCAUUUGGAUGAACUAUGUGUAGUAAUCUGUA
Long non-coding RNA from Triticum aestivum (bread wheat), 1250 nucleotides. RefSeq lists it as uncharacterized. Lineage: Eukaryota; Viridiplantae; Streptophyta; Magnoliopsida; Poales; Poaceae. The transcript has 2 exons. The record is from RefSeq and is a predicted model, not a curated record.